CUACGGGCUGCUGCAGUGGGGAAUAUUGCACAAUGGGCGCAAGCCUGAUGCAGCCAUGCCGCGUGUGUGAAGAAGGCCUUCGGGUUGUAAAGCACUUUCAAUAGGGAGGAAAGGGUAGUUGCUAAUAACUGCUAUCUGUGACGUUACCUAUAGAAGAAGCACCGGCUAACUCCGUGGCCAGCAGCCGCGGUAAUACGGAGGGUGCGAGCGUUAAUCGGAAUUACUGGGCGUAAAGCGCGCGUAGGUUGCCUGCUAAGUCAGAUGUGAAAGCCCAGGGCUCAACCUUGGAAUUGCAUUUGAUACUGGUAGGCUAGAGUUUUGUAGAGGGUGGUAGAAUUUCAGGUGUAGCGGUGAAAUGCGUAGAGAUCUGAAGGAAUACCAGUGGCGAAGGCGGCCACCUGGACAAAGACUGACACUGAGGUGCGAAGGCGUGGGGAGCAAACGGGAUUAGAUACCCGUGUAGUC
This 465-nucleotide ribosomal RNA is filed under the name uncultured bacterium. RNAcentral describes it as "partial 16S ribosomal RNA". It matches the Rfam family "Bacterial small subunit ribosomal RNA", at positions 339 to 795 of the family's 1533-position model. The record is from RNAcentral.